RNAcentral lists this small RNA (128 nucleotides) under Arabidopsis thaliana (thale cress). RNAcentral describes it as "ATSL074070". Lineage: Eukaryota; Viridiplantae; Streptophyta; Magnoliopsida; Brassicales; Brassicaceae. The record is from RNAcentral.
UUUAGAUAUACAUAAUAUUUUGUUUUUAAGUGUUAAAGUUUAAUAUGUGUAAAAUAAUUGGACACAACAUCCCGUCCAUAGUAUGAAGUCCUUAUACGGUGUUCUACGUUCAAUAUGUUUUAAGUAAU